CCUACGGGAGGCAGCAGUGGGGAAUAUUGGGCAAUGGAGGAAACUCUGACCCAGCGACGCCGCGUGCGGGAUGAAGGCCUUCGGGUUGUAAACCGCUUUCAGUAGGGAAGAAGCGAAAGUGACGGUACCUACAAAAGAAGCACCGGCUAACUAUGUGCCAGCAGCCGCGGUAAUACAUAGGGUGCAAGCGUUGUCCGGAAUUAUUGGGCGUAAAGAGCUCGUAGGUCGUUUGUUACGUCGGAUGUGAAAACCUGAGGCUCAACCUCAGGCCUGCAUUCGAUACGGGCAAACUAGAGUUUGGUAGGGGAGACUGGAAUUCCUGGUGUAGCGGUGGAAUGCGCAGAUAUCAGGAGGAACACCAAUGGCGAAGGCAGGUCUCUGGGCCAAUACUGACACUGAGGAGCGAAAGUCUGGGGAGCGAACAGGAUUAGAUACCCUGGUAGUCCAGACCGUAAACGGUGGGCACUAGUUGUGGGAACCUUCCACGGUUUCUGCGACGCAGCUAACGCAUUAAGUGCCCGCCUGGGGAGUACGAUCGCAAGAUUAAAACUCAAAGGAAUUGAACGGCUGAGAGUGCGAGACGACGACGAGGGAGAGG
RNAcentral lists this ribosomal RNA (598 nucleotides) under uncultured bacterium. RNAcentral's name for it is "bacterial SSU rRNA". It matches the Rfam family "Bacterial small subunit ribosomal RNA", at positions 338 to 947 of the family's 1533-position model. The record is from RNAcentral.